GAUGAAGAACGUAGUGAAAUGCGAUAAGUAAUGUGAAUUGCAGAAUUCAGUGAAUCAUCGAAUCUUUGAACGCACAUUGCGCCCGCCAGAAUUCUGGCGGGCAUGCCUGUUCGAGCGUCAUUACAACCCUCAGGCCCCCGGGCCUGGCGUUGGGGAUCGGCGGAAGCCCCCUGCGGGCACAACGCCGUCCCCCAAAUACAGUGGCGGUCCCGCCGCAGCUUCCAUUGCGUAGUAGCUAACACCUCGCAACUGGAGAGCGGCGCGGCCACGCCGUAAAACACCCAACUUCUGAAUGUUGACCUCGAAUCAGGUAGGAAUACCCGCUGAACUUAAGCAUAUCAAUAAGCGGAGGA
RNAcentral lists this unclassified non-coding RNA (353 nucleotides) under soil metagenome. RNAcentral's name for it is "partial contains 5.8S ribosomal RNA, internal transcribed spacer 2, and large subunit ribosomal RNA". The stretch from base 1 to 120 matches the Rfam family "5.8S ribosomal RNA", at positions 35 to 154 of the family's 154-position model. The record is from RNAcentral.